UACGGAGGGGGCGAGCGUUGUUCGGAGUUACUGGGCGUAAAGCGCACGUAGGCGGUGCGGUAAGUCAGGGGUUAAAGGCUGCAGCUCAACUGCAGUAAGGCCUUUGAUACUAUCGUGCUAGAGUGCCAGAGAGGAUGGCGGAACUCCCGGUGUAGCGGUGAAAUGCGUAGAUAUCGGGAGGAACACCAUUGGCGAAGGCGGCUAUCUGGCUGGUAACUGACGCUGAGGUGCGAGAGCGUAGGGAGCAAACAGG
RNAcentral lists this ribosomal RNA (253 nucleotides) under uncultured microorganism. RNAcentral's name for it is "partial 16S ribosomal RNA". It matches the Rfam family "Bacterial small subunit ribosomal RNA", at positions 524 to 776 of the family's 1533-position model. The record is from RNAcentral.